Molecule: ribosomal RNA, 254 nt
Filed under: uncultured bacterium
Lineage: Bacteria
Description: partial 16S ribosomal RNA
Rfam family: Bacterial small subunit ribosomal RNA
Source: RNAcentral
UACGUAGGGUGCAAGCGUUAAUCGGAAUUACUGGGCGUAAAGCGUGCGCAGGCGGCUUUGCAAGACAGAUGUGAAAUCCCCGGGCUUAACCUGGGAACUGCAUUUGUGACUGCAUGGCUGGAGUGCGGCAGAGGGGGAUGGAAUUCCGGCGUGUAGCAGUGAAAUGCGUAGAUAUGCGGAGGAACACCGAUGGCGAAGGCAGUCCCCUGGGCCUGCACUGACGCUCAUGCACGAAAGCGUGGGGAGCAAACAGG